AUCGCUUCUCGCCUUUUGGCUAAGAUCAAGUGUAGUCUGUUCUUAUCAGUUUAAUACUGAUAUGUCCAUCCAGGUGAGGACAACAUAUUAAGCAUUUUUGAAACACAGGAGGAAGGUGGGCUUGCUCUUCUCUCUCAAUUGACCCCAGUAUUGCAGUGCUUCUGGGAACAGUGCCUCUGU
This 180-nucleotide small nuclear RNA is filed under the name Oryzias javanicus (javanese ricefish). Its description in RNAcentral is "U2 spliceosomal RNA (ENSOJAG00000004489.1)". It matches the Rfam family "U2 spliceosomal RNA". Rfam says of the family: U2 is a small nuclear RNA (snRNA) component of the spliceosome (involved in pre-mRNA splicing). Lineage: Eukaryota; Metazoa; Chordata; Actinopteri; Beloniformes; Adrianichthyidae. The record is from Rfam by way of RNAcentral.